ACGUACACCCUACGGGAGGCAGCAGUGGGGAAUAUUGCACAAUGGGCGCAAGCCUGAUGCAGCCAUGCCGCGUGUAUGAAGAAGGCCUUCGGGUUGUAAAGUACUUUCAGCGGGGAGGAAGGCGAUAAGGUUAAUAACCUUGUCGAUUGACGUUACCCGCAGAAGAAGCACCGGCUAACUCCGUGCCAGCAGCCACGGUAAUACGGAGGGUGCAAGCGUUAAUCGGAAUUACUGGGCGUAAAGCGCACGCAGGCGGUCUGUCAAGUCGGAUGUGAAAUCCCCGGGCUCAACCUGGGAACUGCAUUCGAAACUGGCAGGCUAGAGUCUUGUAGAGGGGGGUAGAAUUCCAGGUGGAGCGGUGAAAUGCGUAGAGAUCUGGAGGAAUACCGGUGGCGAAGGCGGCCCCCUGGACAAAGACUGACGCUCAGGUGCGAAAGCGUGGGGAGCAAACAGGAUUAGAAACCCCGGUAGUCCC
RNAcentral lists this ribosomal RNA (475 nucleotides) under uncultured organism. RNAcentral's name for it is "partial 16S ribosomal RNA". It matches the Rfam family "Bacterial small subunit ribosomal RNA", at positions 331 to 797 of the family's 1533-position model. The record is from RNAcentral.